UUGACCACCUCCAUAUUUGUGCAUAUUUAGAGCCUGCACGAGAAAUAGUCUUUUAUUGUGUAUAUGGGAGAUGAGGGGGUUCCGAGCGGCGCAUUAAGCACUGUUGGCGUUAAGGCGGUCGGCACGGAUCAAGGUUAUACUUUUU
Caenorhabditis elegans is the source of this 145-nucleotide non-coding RNA. The record is from Ensembl. Lineage: Eukaryota; Metazoa; Nematoda; Chromadorea; Rhabditida; Rhabditidae.